RNAcentral lists this long non-coding RNA (324 nucleotides) under Physcomitrium patens. Its description in RNAcentral is "long non-coding RNA (PPAT_LNC008867)". The record is from RNAcentral. Lineage: Eukaryota; Viridiplantae; Streptophyta; Bryopsida; Funariales; Funariaceae.
UAAAAAUAUAUUUUUUACUUUUUUACUUUUACUUUUAUUAGGUGAAAAUAAAGUGAACAAACUAUGACUUAGUUUUGAGUGUUGUAAUUGCUUCAUGUCAUUUAUUUCGAUUUUUUGUGGUUGUUCUUCUUUUGUUCUUUUUAUUUGCUUACUUCACUUUAUACCACUAAUUACAAAAAACUCUUAAUUGAUAAUUCAAGCCAUCUUGUAACUUGGAUUAAAAAGUAAAAAUUUACACUCAAUUUUUUCUAAUCCAACAGUUGGAUUGAGUUCAAAAUUUUUAAGGAGCAAGAUAAUAUUCUUAACUUCUAUUAUACAAAAAAU